This is a long non-coding RNA of Acinonyx jubatus (cheetah), 2269 nucleotides long. RefSeq lists it as uncharacterized. NCBI's taxonomy places the organism in Eukaryota, Metazoa, Chordata, Mammalia, Carnivora, Felidae. The record is from RefSeq and is a predicted model, not a curated record. The transcript is spliced from 3 exons.
AUGCACCGUUCAUGCCCACUCUUUCCAGAAGGCAGAUUGACAGUUCUCGUCUUUACUCACUGCCUGAACCUUUCCUUACCCUUUGACCAAACCUACCACUUCUUACCUUUUUCUUUUGUUUUGUUUUGUUUUUCUGCAUCUCUAGGUAUUUGCCUCUGAUGCUCCCUUUGCCUGGAAGCCUUACCUAGUCCCAUCCAUGCCUUUGGAAAUCACGCGAAAAUGCUUCGAGCUGGAUCCCACAUGUCAUCACCUCAACAAAAGCCUUUCCCUGAGCUGUUUAACCGACCGUGCUUCCUCAAAACAGUGAGACCAAUAAAGAAGAAAUAAAAUUUUUUCCAAAUGACAAAAAACAACAAAACAGGAUGGGAAGAAAACCACCAAAAAGAAAUACUUUCAACAACUAUCUGGAAGAUGGGAAGCAAAGAAAGGACUGUAGACAGAAAGCAGAGGAAGCCACGGCCUAGAAUACAUGCUGGAGAUCUACAUUCAAUGAGAAAAUCUGCCUGCCAUGCUCAAUUCUUCACAAGACUGAUAUGCACAAAUCCAGCUGUUCCUUCCAUUAAUGAAAGUGGAAUAUUGAAGCCUCUGACUAUCAUCACGGAAUCCUCUACAUUUCUCCUUCACUUCUGUAAGUUUUGCUUCAUGCAUUUUGGUGCUCUGUUGCUAGGUGGGUAUGUGAUUAAAACUGUCAUACCUUUCAGACUGGUGGACUCUUUCCACAUUAUAAAGUACCCCUCUUUACCUCUAAUAAUACUUGUUUCAGAGUCUGUUGUUUCUGAUAUUACUAUAGCCAUUGCAGCUUUCUUUUAGUUCUAGAUUUUCUCCUAUGUUAUAUCCCAGGAGUUUCAUAGUGUUGAGUUUUACAUUGAGGUCGGGGAUCCAUUUUGAGUACCUUUGCGUGAAGGAUGUAAGGUCUGUGUCUAGAUUUAUUUUUUUGCACGUGGAUGUCCGUCGUUCCAGCAAAAUCUGUUGAAAACUGUCUUUGCUCCACUGUGUUGCCUUGAUUCCUCUGUCAAAUACCUGUUGAGUAUAUUUAUAUUGAUCUAGUUCUGGGCUCUCCAUUCUGUUCCAUUGAUCUAGUUGUCUACUCUUUUGCCAAUAGCAAAUCGCCGUGAUAGCUUUAUAGUAAGUCUGGGAGUCAGGUAAUGUCUGUCUUCCAACUUUGUUCUCCUUCAAUAUUCUGUCUUCCAAUAUAAACUUUAGAAUACGUUUGUCAAUAGCCACAAAAUAACUUGCUGGGAUUUUGAUAGGGACUGCAGUGAAUCUAUAGACAAACUGGGAAGAACUGGAAUCUUGACAAUAUUGAGUCCACCUAUAUAUGAAUAUGUAAUAUCUCCCCAUUGAUUUAAUUCAUUUUUUAUUUUGUUCAUUUGAGUUUUAUAGCUGCUUUGUGGUUUCCUUCAUCUGCACCUUGCAUAUAUUUUGUUAAAUUUACACCUAAGUAUUCCAUUCUGGGGGUGCUAAUGUAAAUGGUAUUGUGUUUUCAAUGUCAAUUCUACUUGUUCAUUAUUGGUACAUAAAAAAUGAUUGACUUGUUAUACUAACCUUAUACCUGUAACCUUGCUAUAAUCAUUUAUUAGUUCUAGGAGGGCUUGUUUUUCUUUUUUGGCCAAUUCUUCCAGGUUUUCUACAUAGAUGAUCACAUCAUCUAUAAAUGGUUUUACUUCUUCCUUCCCAAUCUGUAUACCUUUUAUUCCCUUUUCUUGUCUUAUUGAAUUGGCUAGAAAUUCCAGUGCAAUGUUGAAAAGGAGUGGUGAGGGUCAUGUGGGUGGCUCAGUCAGUUAAGCAUCCGACUUUGGCUCAGGUCGUGAUCUCCCAGUUCAUGAGUGCAAGCCUCACAUCAGACUCGCUACUGUCAGUGCGGAACCUGCUUCGAAUCCUUUGUCUCUCUCUCUCUCUGCCCUUUCCCUGCCUGUGCUCUCUCUCUCUCAAAAAUAAAUAAACAUUUAAAAAAAGAAGUGGUGAGAGGAAACUAAUGCAACAUUUUAAUUUAUUCAACUUUUUUGCACUAAUAUUUUUAGUGAUUUCUUUAUAGGUUGGUCUAGACUUCACCAUGCCAAUCUUAAAUUAUCAGAAUAAGCUUAAGAUUCAUAAUGAUUCACUUAAUUCCAGUGAGAGCUAGAAAUGAUACUCCUAUAUAUCUCUACUCCCUUCCUCCCCUUCUGUGAUAUUAUUGUUAUACAUACUGCAUCUAUAAAUGUUGCAACCAUUGCAUAACACUGGAACUGCUAAAAGUAUUGCUUUACAUAAUUUUGUGUUUUACAGAAGC